GAUGAAGAACGUAGCGAAAUGAGAUAAGUAAUGCGAAUUGCAGAAUUCAGUGAGUCAUCGAAUCUUUGAACGCACAUUGCGCCCUGUGGUAUUCCGCAGGGCAUGCCUGUUCGAGCGUCAUUUCAACCCUCAAGCUCUGCUUGGUGUUGGGCCCUGCCCGCUGCGGCCGGCCCUAAAGACAGUGGCGGUGCCGCCUGGCCCUGAGCGUAGUACAUCUCUCGCUCCAGUGCCCGGUGGUAGCCUGCCAGAACCCCAACUCUCGUGGUUGACCUCGGAUCAGGUAGGGAUACCCGCUGAACUUAAGCAUAUCAAUAAGCGGAGGA
RNAcentral lists this unclassified non-coding RNA (323 nucleotides) under soil metagenome. RNAcentral describes it as "partial contains 5.8S ribosomal RNA, internal transcribed spacer 2, and large subunit ribosomal RNA". The stretch from base 1 to 120 matches the Rfam family "5.8S ribosomal RNA", at positions 35 to 154 of the family's 154-position model. The record is from RNAcentral.